UACGUAGGGAGCAAGCGUUGUCCGGAAUCAUUGGGCGUAAAGCGCGCGUAGGCGGCCCGAUAAGUCCGCUGUAAAAGUCAACGGCUCAACUGUUGAAAGCCGGUGGAUACUGUCGGGCUAGAGUACGGAAGAGGCAAGUGGAAUUCUUGGUGUAGCGGUGAAAUGCGUAGAUAUCAGGAGGAACACCGGUGGUGUAGACGGCUUACUGGACCACGACUGACACUGAGGCACGAAAGCGUGGGUAGCAAACAGG
Molecule: ribosomal RNA, 253 nt
Filed under: uncultured bacterium
Lineage: Bacteria
Description: partial 16S ribosomal RNA
Rfam family: Bacterial small subunit ribosomal RNA
Source: RNAcentral